UAAGGAUCAAAGCAUAUUGUUAGCUUCAAUAUUUCUCUUGCUUAUUCUGACUGAAAGUAAAGGUAGUGUUAUUUUGUUCAUUUAUGUACCCUUACAAUUGUCUUUUAGUAAAUGACUGAGUUAUUUGUUUCUAUUUCAUGCAAGUUUUGCAGAUCUUGAUUGUAUCCUAUCUCCAAUGAGUGGGCCAAGUGAGAAGAGGUAUGGAUGGUAAGUAUUGAUGGAUACAUUCAUUUGAAUUGAAGAGGAUCAUCAUUUUUCAGAAUAUGGCACGUCUAUUUCUAUAAACUUUUAAAAAUCAUUUAUUCUUUAAACAAAGUUUUUUUUUGCUCAAAAAAUUGCGGAGCUUUUUAACUGUGUCAAAAUACAACAACAACAAGCCUUUUUCCUGCUACCAGGUGGGGUUGGCUACAUUGAAAAAAUAUCUCUAUUGACAAACCAUUGACCUUCAAAUCCUUCUUAAUGGUUUUGCCCUUAGUUUUGGCCUUCCUCUACCUCUAGCAAUAUGGAUACCCUCCAUUUAUCUAUUCUCCUUAUUAGGGUGUCCGCAAAUCUUCUCCACCCACCCUUUAACUGUGUCAAAAUACUUGUAUAUAAUCAUGAUCUUGCCUCCGUGAAUCACAAUUGAUGCAUGAGGUUGAGAAGAUUUUGUUCUAUUUAUUUUGCUUUUAAAACCAAUUUUUGACUACAUGCAUUUAUUAUUGAGAAAAUUGCAAAAAAAGGAAUUCUUUGUAAAAAUAUUUAUAACUUAGGAACAUGUAACUAUUGAAGUUGUUGGACAAGUGACUUUAAUAACUUAAGGGAGGGGGGGUGAAUUAAGUUUCAAAAUUUCCCACUAACAAACUUUUAACUCCCUUCUAAAUGAUAGACUUAGAAUGCAGAAGAAGAAGCAAUAAUCAAUUUAAUAAUCUUCUUUAAACAUGUAAGACAAAAUUGACUGCAAUAACAUAAAUGAGAUAAGGGAAAAGAGAAAUGCAAACUCGAUUUAUACUGGUUCGACCAUUUCCCGUGCCUAUGUCCAGUCCUCAAGCAACUCACUUGAAAUUUUCCACUAUCUUUUUAAAUCCUUUACAGACUUUGAACACAUCUUGGGAUCCCUCACCCUUAUGUUCAAAGAUUCUCCAAGAGACAACCCGUCUCUUGAUUACAAUUCUCACAAUCCAAGAGAAAACCAGUCUCUUAAUUACAAUUGACUUUCUGAGAUGAACAGAAAGAUUUAUCUCCUUUAGAAUGGAUGAUACAAAUUGAAGUUUCCAGAGGAAUUUCUCUCUUUUAGAGAUGAUAAUACAAUUUGAAGUUCCUGGAUGAAUUCUCAAUAGAUUUGCAAGUGUUUGUCCAUGAGUUGUUGAGAGAGCAUUUGACAAUUAAAUUCUCUUAGAAUAUCUCUCUCUUGCUUUUCAAAGUCAGACACACAUAUAUAUAGGCCUUUCGUGCCUUUUCAAAAAGUUUUUUCUGAAAUUCUUCACUGGUAAUCGAUUACACAGCUAUAUUUUGAAGGAUCAUGAUUUUUCAAAGUGUUUUCUGAAGUUUCGUUUCUGGUAAUUGAUUAUAAACAUCUGGUAAACGAUUACAUGAUUCAAAAUUUAAAUUCAAAAUCCUUUUUAAAAGCUAUUUUUUAAAAUUGUCUUCUGGUAAUCGAUUACACUACUUGGUAAUCAAUUACCAGAGCCUUGAUCUCUUGAAAACACUUUUUUUGAGACAAAAGCAUGAUCUUGAAUUAAUCUUGAAGCAAUGCUUGUUUAUUGAAGCAACCUUGUGUAUUCAUACAUUCACAUUCUCCCCCUUUUUUGUGAUGACAAUCAUUAUCAACUGAGAAUCAAAUGAUAUCAAAAGAAAAUGUUACUGCUUGUUGGAAUAUAUAAGAAUCAAAUGAUAUCAAAAGGCCUAAUCACAUAAUUGAUGAAUACUUAAUAAACUAUGCUUAAGAUCAUCAAUAAGUAAAGCAUUUUCUAUGGAGGUAGAGAGAUCCGUACCUAUUUUUCCAACUCCAACAAUUUUACCUUUGUUUGUUGUCUCCAUAGAUCACAUAUUCACUAUCUUUGGGAGAAAUAUGAAUAAACUUUGAUGCAUCUCCCGCCAUGUGUUUGGAGCAACCGCUAUUAAUGUAUCAACUUUGCUUCAAGGAGUCCAUUAUUCAUUUAAUCAUAUUUUGAUUUUGGUACCCAAAUUUUCUUGGGUCCUUGAAUGUUUGUUUUGAGUAAGAAUCCUUUUGGAACACAUACCAUUUUUCCAAUGGUACUUCCAUUCUUUAUAAUAUAACAUGUUGAUGCACUAUUGAUCAUUCUAACCAUAGUAAAAACAUGUUAACAAGGGAGAACCAACCUUUUGAGUGGAGACAAAGAAAUUUUUAUGCAUCUUUUGUUGAUUUUCAAGAUUAUAUCCUAAUCCAGCUUUAUCAAAAACACUUUUUUGUUUGCCAAAUACAAUAUCUAAAUUAUUUUUACCAAGAGUAAAUUUGGCAAGAGCAAUUUUUAAAACUUCAAUUUCUUCUUUGAAUUUAUCACAACGUUCACAUGAAUGAGAUGCUUUAUUGUUUUCUUGUAUUAAGCAUUUUGUAGAAGAUUGAUUUUUAUCUAUUGAUUUUAAAGUUUUAACUUCAGAUUUAAGAUUUUCUAACUCUACAUUUAAUUUCAAAAUUUCAUUUUUCUAAACUUAAAAUAGUUUUUUUAGAAUAUGAAACUAAUUUGGCAAGUUUGACAGAUUCUUUAUGCAAGUCAUUGAAUGCAUCUUGGAGUUCACCAAAAGAAAUAGAUAAGUCAUAGUUAGAAGACAUUACCUCUUCUCUGCUUUCAUAAUCUUUGACCAUGAGACCCAAAUUUAUGAUUUUAUUUUCUGAAUCACUUGAAGAAUCCAUAUCAUUAUCUUCCCAAGUGAUGUAUGCUUUCUUUUCUUUGAAAUUUUUCUUGUCGGAUUUUUCCAUUCUCCUUUUAAAGAUAGGACAAUCAAAUCUCAUGUGCCCAGGUUGAUCACAUUCAUAGCAUUUUGGAACUAAGGAAUCUUCUCCUUUCUUCUUUGAAUUGACGUUUGAUCUCCUUUAAUUUCCUUUUUUUCUCAAAUUUAUUGAAUCUCUUCACAAAGGGACUGAAAUCAUCAUCUUUUUCUAAGUUCUUUUCAUUUGAGUCUUCUUUGUCAUUUUCCUCAUGAAUAGAAGAAGAUGAGUCUUUGAGUGCAAUUCCUUUCCUCUUUUUGUCAUUAUCUUCAUGUUGAUGGAGUCUCAUAAGUUCCAUUUCAUGUUCUUGAAGUUUUCCAAAGAAAGUGGCGAGAGUCAUGUUGGUGAGAUCUUUUGACUCCGCAAUUGCUGUUACUUUUGGUUGUCAUUGCCUACUUAAACAUCUCAACACUUUGUUAAUGAGAUCUUCAUUAGGAAAUAUUUUUCCCAAUGAUGCAAGAUGAUUAACUAUAUGUGUAAAUCUCUUUUGCAUAUCUUGUAUGGUCUCAUUUUUAUUCAUUCUAAACAGUUCAUAUUCAUGUGUGAGAGUGUUUAUUCUAUAUCUCUUAACAUCAAUUGUGCCUUCAUGUGUAACUUGUAAUGUAUCCCACAUUUCUUUUUCAUUUUUAUAAUUUGAAACUCUAAAAUACUCAUCUAUGCCUAAUGCAGAAGUGAUUAUAUUUUUGGCCUUUAAAUUCUAUUGAACCCUUUUUCUUUCAUCAUCAUUCCAUUCUUCUCUAGGUUUUUCUGUAGUUGUAUUUCCCACUACCAUUGUUGGAAUGAAAGGACCAAUUUUAAUGGCUUCCCAUAUAUUUAAAUCUAUGACUUCUAUAAAGAUUUGCAUUCGGAUUUUCCAAUAGUGAUAACCCUUACCAUUGAAAACAAGAGGCCUAUUAAUAGAAUUUCCUUCAGGAAAUGGAAAAUUAGAUGAGGCCAUAAUUAUUCUUGAAGUUUUUAAACUUUAAACAAGAAUCCUGCUCUGAUAUCACUUGUUGGACAAGUGGCCUCAAUAACUUAAGAUGAGGGUGAAUUAAGUUUCAAAAUUUCCCACAAACAAACUUUUAACCCCCUUCUAAAUGAUAGACUCAUAAUACAGAAGAAAAAACAACAAUCAAUUUAAUAAUGUUCUUUAAACAUGCAAGACAAAAUUGACUGCAAUAACAUAAAUGAGAUAAGGGAAUAGAGAAAUGCAAACUCGAUUUAUACUGGUUCGGUCACUUCCCGUGGCUACGUCCAGUCCUCAAGCAACCCACUUUAGAUUUUUCACUAUCUCUGUAAAUCCUUUACAGACUUUGAACACACCUUGGGAUCCCUCACCCUUGUGUUCAAAGAUUCUCCAAGAAACAACCCGUCUCUUGAUUACAAUUUUCACAAUCCAAGAGACAACCAAUCUCUUGAUUACAAUUGACUUUCUGAAAUGAACAAAAAGAUUUCUCUCCUUUAGAGUGGAUGAUAAAAAUUGAAGUUCCUAGAGGAAUUUCUUUCUUUUAGAGAUGAUAAUACAAUUUGAAAUUCCUGGAUGAAUUCUCAAUAGAUUUGCAAGUGUUUGCCCAUGAGUUGUUGAGAGAGCAUUUGACAAUAAAGUUCUCUUAGAAUAUCUCUCUCUUGCUUUUCGAAGUUAGACACACAUAUAUAUAGGUCAUUCGUGCCUUUUCAAAAUGGUUUGAUGAGAUGUGUCUUUUCAAAAAGCUUUUUCUGAAAUUCUUCACUAGUAAUCGAUUACAGGUUUUUGGUAAUCGAUUACACAAUUAUAUUUUGAAGGGUCAUGAAUUUUCAAAGUGUUUUCUGAAGCUUUGUUGCUGGUAAUCGAUUAUAAACAUCUGGUAAUCGAUUACAUGAUUCAAAAUUCAAAUUCAAAUUCAAUUUGAAGUUCCUGGAUGAAUUUUCAAUAGAUUUGCAAGUAUUUGCCCAUGAGUUGUUGAGAGAGCAUUUGACAAUUAAGUUCUCUUAGAAUAUCUCUCUUGCUUUUCGAACUUAGACACACAUAUAUAUAGGCCCUUCGUGCCUUUUCAAAAUGGUUUGAAGAGAUGUGUCUUUUCAAAAAACUUUUUCUGAAAUUCUUCACUAGUAAUCGAUUAUAGAAAUUUGUAAUUGAUUACACAGUUAUAUUUUGAAGGGUCAUAACUUUUUAAAGUGUUUUUUGAAUUGUCGUUGCUGGUAAUCGAUUACAAACAUCUGUUAAUUGAUUACAUGAUUCAAAAUUCAAAUUCAAAUUCAAAACCCUUAUUAAAAGUUGUUUUUCAAAAUUGUCUUUUGGUAAUUGAUUACACUACCUGGUAAUCAAUUACCAGAGCCUUGAUCUCUUGGAAACACUUGUUUUGAGACAAAAGCUUGAUCUUGAAUUAAUCUUGAAGCAAUGCUUGUUUGUUGAAGUAACCUUGUAUUAAUCUUGAAGCAAUGCUUAACCUUUGAAUGUUUGUUGAAGUAAUCUUGAAAGCAACCUUGUUUGAUUAUUCUUUGGCAUAAUCAAAAUCAUGUAUUUAUACAUUCACAGAAGUGGCUAAAAAUAUCUGGUUAAUAGCUUAUAUCUGUUGGUUUCAGAUGCAUUAUAUGUUUUAUGUUUUUUCAGUUCAGUCUUUGUCUCUGCCUGUUUCAGUUGCAGACUAAUGACACAUCAAUAUCUAAGUUUGUGGAUGAAAGUAUCUUUAGAUUUAUGCUAGAUGUAUAUACAACUUUAUUUUUGAUGUGUUCAAUUGAAUUAUCCUUCAUUAUUAUUUUUGUUGUGUAGUUUUGGUAGAAUUGGGGUUCCACAGAGCAUGCAAAGUAACAAAAUUGCCAUCUCCUUUUAAAUUUGACAGAUUUUAAAUGCCUUGCUAAAUGUUUUAGCCUUCCAGCAACCCCUCUCUAUAAUGGUGCUAUGGCAUGCAGGGUGGUGCUUGCAAAAGCUACUCAUCUUCCAUAGAGAGGGACUUAGUGGAGAUAAUCUUCUCCUAUUCAUUGUAAGUAUUCAAUAGCUUCAGCUAAUUUCUUAACACACUAUUACAAGUGGAUUUCUACUUGCGUGGAGACAUACUUGUAUUCUAUCACAUGUAUGACUAGGUGGAUUACAUUUGAUGUAUCAAUUUUGUAAACUUGUUUAGCUUUUGAUUUUUUUUUUCCUGGAGUUUCAGUUCAGUAUAUUUCUACCAUCUAUUGUCAAGUCUCAGAUUAUCUAAGCUAGGUACAAAUUUAGGCAGAAUAGCAUAGUUGUUAUGUAAAAGUGUAUCAUCAAGCUCAUGAUUAGUUAUAUGUAAGCCGCAAGAACAAAAAUUGUUUCUCCUAAUGUUCUAGGACUAUAGGUUCUUCCUACAAGUUUCUCUUUUAAAUAAAGAUGAUAUCAUGAUAGAUUAUGCAUGUUAUUGUGAUCAUGUGUGUAAAUCUUGUGUGGGUUUGAACAAUGAGCAUAUCAUUUCUAGGUUUGAGAAUAUGUAUGGUAGAUGAAAAAUGUCAAAGAAAAUAAAUAGUAAUUUACUUUGGAUGAUGCAGAGAUAUGAACUUAUAUAUGUGUGUGUAAAACGUAUCAUAUGAGGAUGACAAUCUUAAGUGAGAAUGAAAAUGGUUAAUCUCAAUCAUUAGAUUAAAAUCAAAGGCCAAAAUCAAAACAUUUUAAAUUAAAAUCUUAUUUGACCAUAAAAUCUCUAUAAUAUUUACUAAACAAAAAAUCAAAUAUCUUAAAGAUUUAAUUUAUACCCUUUAUCGAAGAAAAAAAGAUUUAAUUUAUGUCAAAAUUGUCGUCACCACAACAACCUCCACUAUGAUCGCCGUCAUGACCACCAUCGUCGCCAUCAACAUGAUUGUUGCUGUUGCCAUGCCAACACUAUCGCCGAUGGUGGUGGCAGUGACAACAACAGUGAUCAUGUUGGUGACGAUGAUCAUAGGGCGGUGGUAGUGGUGGUGGAUAGUAAUGGUGACGAUAAUCAUGGUGGUUGUGGUGGUGGCCAUGACAAUUGUGCUGAAAAUGAUCAAGACGCUUGUGAUGGUAAUCGUGGUGAUAGGUUUGAGAUAUUUUAGGAUAUCAUAAAUUAAAUCUUUUAAGAUAUUUGAUUUUUUGUUUGGUAAUUUUUUAGAGAUUUUAUGGUUAAAUAAUGUUAAUUCGAAUUUAAAAUGUUUUAACUUUUACCUUUCAUUUUAAUCUAACAUUGAGAUUGAUUAUUCUCAUUCUUGCAUAAGAUAAUCAUUCUCAUAUGAUAUGUUUCUCUCUCUCUCUCUCUCUCUAUAUAUAUAUAUAUGAUUUCUUGUAUUUUGGUGCGUUGGUGCUGUUGCUAAUUGAUAUUGGUUGGCUUAAAGGUUUUAAAUUACCUAAUAAUUCUAGAAAGUAACUUAACUAUGCAUAAAUUAAGCUAGAAUUGUCUUGAAUUUUGGAAAAGUUAUUGUCAUGAAUCAAUUAUUCCUAAAGCUCAAGUUGUUAAAUGAAAACUCAUGAAAUACUUUAUUUUACAUUUCUAGCAUGCCCUCUCAUGCAAAAGUCCUUAGGUUUGAAAUGUGGGAAUGCCCAGACCUAUCUAUCUUGUGCCGAAUUAAACUUAAGGCCACCAGUCAUAGAAGUGUACCCAAAUGAUUUGGCAAUUAGCUGAGACCAUGACUUGAUACUUUGCUUUUUUUUUUUUUUAUCUUGUAAUCAUAUAUUGCUUCUCAAAUUUUCAAGAUAUGAGGUUAUCCUUGAUGAUACAUUGUUAUGAUGGCGAUAAAGGAUACAUAUUUUUUUGUCAUUUUUACAAAGCCCUUUUUUUCACCUAAUGUCAUUCUCCCCUGUUUGACCCACAUUGAUACCCCCCGUCAUCAAAGACUUGAACUCUGGCAACUACCGCCAUAUAAGAUAUCUUCACAACCUCUUGUCCCUUUUUUUUUUUUUUCAGUUUAUUCUUUUUCUUCACAGCAUUUAUUUAUUAUUUUUUUUUCUGUUCUUCUCUUUUUAUUUUAUUCUGAUCUAUCUUUUUUUUUUUCCUGUACUUUGUUUGUUUUACAUUCUCUUUUUUUUCUAUUUUUUUCUUGGUCCUUUUUUUCCCUUGAUCAUCUCCUUCUGAAAACCGAAGCCAACUUCAAACACCACCACAACAAUGUCAAUAUUGACAUUUUUAGUUUUAUGGCUUUUAUCUUUCUUGUUAGUGUUGUUAUGAUAUACAUAUGUGAUUUUUUUAUUACAUCUUUUGUUUUGGAUAAGAUAUGCAUGUUAUUGGAAGUAAAUAUUGAUUUAUCCAUGUUAUUACAGGUUCAUUAGCAUCAUCAAUUACAAAAUUGCAUUUGUGCAUUCAAAAUUUCUAGUUUUAUAGUUUCUAGUUUCCAUCGGCAGACUUCAUAUGAUCAGUCUCGUGUAAACUUUCUGAAUUUGGUUCGAUCAUAUUCCAGAUACUCUAAUAACAG
This 8266-nucleotide long non-coding RNA is filed under the name Glycine max (soybean). RNAcentral describes it as "long non-coding RNA (GMAX_LNC002170)". Lineage: Eukaryota; Viridiplantae; Streptophyta; Magnoliopsida; Fabales; Fabaceae. The record is from RNAcentral.